This 253-nucleotide ribosomal RNA is filed under the name uncultured bacterium. RNAcentral's name for it is "partial 16S ribosomal RNA". It matches the Rfam family "Bacterial small subunit ribosomal RNA", at positions 524 to 776 of the family's 1533-position model. The record is from RNAcentral.
UACGUAGGGGGCAAGCGUUGUCCGGAAUCAUUGGGCGUAAAGAGCGUGUAGGCGGCCCGAUAAGUCCGCUGUGAAAGUCCAGGGCUCAACCCUGGAAUGCCGGUGGAUACUGUCGGGCUCGAAUCCGGAAGAGGUGAGUGGAAUUCCUGGUGUAGCGGUGAAAUGCGCAGAUAUCAGGAAGAACACCCGUGGCGAAGGCGGCUCUCUGGAACGCAACUGACGCUGAGACGCGAAAGCGUGGGGAGCAAACAGG